RNAcentral lists this ribosomal RNA (467 nucleotides) under uncultured bacterium. RNAcentral's name for it is "partial 16S ribosomal RNA". It matches the Rfam family "Bacterial small subunit ribosomal RNA", at positions 28 to 506 of the family's 1533-position model. The record is from RNAcentral.
GAUGAACGCUGGCGGCGUGCUUAACACAUGCAAGUCGAACGGUGAAGGCGGAGCUUGCUCUGCUGGAUCAGUGGCGAACGGGUGAGUAACACGUGAGCAAUCUGCCCCUGACUCUGGGAUAAGCGCUGGAAACGGCGUCUAAUACUGGAUACGAGCUGCGAAGGCAUCUUCAGCAGCUGGAAAGAACUUCGGUCAGGGAUGAGCUCGCGGCCUAUCAGCUUGUUGGUGAGGUAACGGCUCACCAAGGCGUCGACGGGUAGCCGGCCUGAGAGGGUGACCGGCCACACGGGGACUGAGACACGGCCCAGACUCCUACGGGAGGCAGCAGUGGGGAAUAUUGCACAAUGGGCGAAAGCCUGAUGCAGCAACGCCGCGUGAGGGACGACGGCCUUCGGGUUGUAAACCUCUUUUAGCAGGGAAGAAGCGAAAGUGACGGUACCUGCAGAAAAAGCGCCGGCUAACUACGU